AUCUAUCUGAGCAUUUCACUGUGGUUAAUUAAUUUUAACACAAUGUCAACAUUUCCGUACACGGUUUUAACGAAGACACUUGUCUUUAAUUUGAGAUACUUGUACAGCUCCGCUACAGCGUCGCGUGCGAAUGACGUCAUCAACCGCGCUGGGCCGCUUGUGGAUGACGUCAUUCACAUGCAGCUGCGAUCGUAUCUUUCGCGCCGAAAGAUAACGGCUGGGACUAAGUAAAAAGUAGUAAAAAUGGAGACAUAGCGAAACGCUGAUGUCUCCAUUUUUACUGCCUUUUACUACUUGAAUGGACUGAGGGUGAUGAUAGUGGGGCGCAUAGUAUUUUGGCGAUUGACUGUGUCCGGAACUUUUCAGUUCAAGAUUUUUUUGCCUCGACUGAACAAAACGAGAAGCUGGUGGAAUGGCGAAACGGCCGCCAACCCUGGCCGGUUCACCCAGCCAAAAUUAUUGACGUGGCAAGUUGUCGUGAAAAAGAAAAAUGUUUCUAAAUACGAGACAGGAGGAGGAGGAGAAAGUGGAUGAUGAGGCGCGUCAUGACACAAAGAACAAGGUGGGAAGCCAACCAGAGGGGACGGGGAGCAGCUGGUUGCCCUGGACAAAAUAAAAAAGGCAGCCAUUAUUGGCAUCAAUGGAGACUGGAUAAGAUGCUACAUUGAAGAAAUGGCCGGCAGCCAGCCGAGGGCAGAUAGGCACAGCUAUAAAUUCCAAGCUCGCAGAGAUGCGAAGAUCCAUUAAAUGAUUAUUUUUUUUUGUUGUCAUUUUUGUACAUUUUGAUAGUCCUUAAAUAAAUAAUGUAAAUUUCCACAUUUUGGGCUUUUAUUUUUGUUUCCUAGUUUGGAUUUUAAUAAUUUUACUAAUGUAUAGGUGGACAUAUGUGCAUAUAUGUACCUAUAUAGGUACAUUUAUGCAUGUAUAUAUAUGUGU
Pungitius pungitius (ninespine stickleback) is the source of this 936-nucleotide long non-coding RNA. RefSeq lists it as uncharacterized. Lineage: Eukaryota; Metazoa; Chordata; Actinopteri; Perciformes; Gasterosteidae. The record is from RefSeq and is a predicted model, not a curated record. The transcript has 5 exons.